CUGAAUCCACUGCAGUACAUCACAGAGUAUACACAGACAAUAUACUCAUUACACACCACAAGACCAAAGGGCAUGGAUGUCCAGCUUGGCUUACAGCUAAAGCAAAGAACACACACUCCCCUGAAUGAGGAAACAACAAGCCAAAGUCCUGCAGACAUACAGCACUGUACACAUGGAUUCACCGCUGGCUUCCUCCUGAAACAUAUAUAAGUUAAGUUUAUGCUUGUUUACAGUUUUCCCACAGCAUGUCCACUCUGUGAGUAAUCAAAUGGGGGUUUGGAGUGAGAACACUGGGGACCUUGGCAGUGUGGUUGUUUGAUGCAGAUAUUGGCCCUUUUGAAGAGGGUUGAAGAGUUCUUAUAAACAAUGGACUGACUGCAGACACAGCUGGAGGACCUGUGUGAGUUUGAGUGAUGCAGAGAGAGUGACGAGACCAGCUGGAGGACCUGUGUGCACCUUGUGCUGGGGACAAGAAAAGGACCUCCACAUCCGGCUUCUUCACCUGCGGGAUCGUCUGAGACCAGCCACCCAGACAGCUGAUGAAACUGAGGAGUAUUUCUGUCUGUAAUAAAGCACUUUUGUUUAUUACUAAUUCUGAUUUGCUGGGCCUGGCUCCCCAGUGGGUGGGCCUGGCUCCCAAGUGGGUAGGCCUAUGCCCUUGCAGCCCCACCCAUGUCUGCACCCUGCCCUGUCAUGUGAAAUCUAUAAUUAGCGCAUAAUGAAUUUAUUUCAAUUGACUGAUUUCCUUAUAGGAACUGUAACUCAGUAAAAUCGUUGAAAUUGUUGCAUGAUGCGUUUAUAUUUUUGUUCAGUAUAUUUAUUACUCAUGUAAACGUUAGUAAUUCAUGCUCACAGGGCUCGUUGACCUCCUAGACCGAGCUGCAGGUUUUUAGACUGGAGUUUGCAAUAUGGCAAUAAUGUCACGGUGCAUCCUUUGGCGAAUGAUCAUGUUUGUUGUAUGUCACGCAUGCUGUUUUCAUGCAUGUAAAGAUAACUAUGUCUGUCUUUUUGAAAGCUAUGUCCGUCCGUCCGUCCGUCUGCCUGUCUGUCGUCUCGCUGUCUUUCUCUCUGUGUCUCUGUCUCUGUCAUCCUCUGCAUGUCCAGCUGUCUCCGCAUGGUGUGACUACCGUUCUUUAGAUCUCCUCUCUGAAGUGGUUGUUGGGAAAUGUGGGUCUGUGGUUCAAGAUUAUUAAUAAACCAUACCAAUUGAAGAGUCAAGUAGACUUUUCCUCAGUGUUGUCAGGAAAGCCCACAGGUGUAUAUUGUGGAUUGCAGAGUCAGGCUUACAUUUCUUCUACCACAAUGGUUCCCCCUUGGGCCAAAUAUGUCAAC
Molecule: long non-coding RNA, 1332 nt
Filed under: Salmo salar (Atlantic salmon)
Lineage: Eukaryota; Metazoa; Chordata; Actinopteri; Salmoniformes; Salmonidae
Description: lncRNA (ENSSSAG00000087129.1, ENSSSAG00075065872.1)
Source: RNAcentral